This 1087-nucleotide long non-coding RNA is filed under the name Monodelphis domestica (gray short-tailed opossum). RNAcentral's name for it is "lncRNA (ENSMODG00000032324.2)". The record is from RNAcentral. Lineage: Eukaryota; Metazoa; Chordata; Mammalia; Didelphimorphia; Didelphidae.
AGAACGUUAGCAUAAAAACACCUGGGAUGUGGGAACACAGAAAAGCAUUAAGAGCUAUAAAAACUCUUAGAGAUCUUCAAAUCCAACUUUCCCUUCUGGAAAGAUCUAGACAUUGAGGACAGAGCAGGAAGGUGGCUCCCUUACCCAAGAUCGUUCCAAAUGGUUAGUAAUAAGAAAAGAUCUAGACUCCAGGCCGGCCAUAGAGCCUCUGAGGCCAUCUUAUUAGACUUGUGAGCCCAUUUCAGAAAGCCAGACCUCUCUGAAAAGAUGAGGAACCUGGUAUAAUUAACCAUGGCUUCCUCAAGCUUUCGUAAUCAGUCCUCCAAGCUAAUGAAACAUCUCUGCUCUGAAAAUACCCAAAGGUCUCCUGAGAUUGACCUACAGUCAUAGGACAGAAAAAGUCAGAGCUGGAAGAGCAGCUCAUGUGCUCACCUUGGACAAGCAAGAUACAACUUGGAUUUUCUUGGACCUUUCACCUGUAGUAUUGACUUGGGAAUGGUCAUCUUUUCUAAGAAAUCACUGUAGAUAUCAACUCCUUCUGGACUACCAACAUCCAAAUCCAGGAGCCCCUGACCUCUCAAGACUAAUGAAUUUGGUAAUAAGGGUAAAAAAAUCCCUGCCAAAAUUGCUGUUCAGUCACCUAUGCUCAAGGAAAGAAACUCAAAGCAGGAGGAGCAUCAAGGAACUUGAGAUCCAGGCUCAGGUUUUCCUAGGAAGGAAGAGGAUAAGGAGUAGAAGAGUGAUAAUGAGAAUACAAAAGGAAGAAGCGCAUGUAGACAUGUGGAUGAGCAAGGCCAACACUUGGUACACUAAAGUGCCCUCUUGCUGCCCUGCACCUACAAUGCAAAAGAACAAAGGAAAAGUCAAGUAUCCUCACUUGCUUCUCAUGGUCCAGAAUCCAUUACAUUUCUAUUCAGAGGUUCUGUAAAUGUAUAACAAUGUCUUUCCUGCAUCCAUCUGCCUUUAUUAUCCUCGGAGAACCUUCAACUAGUGAUGCCACACAUAUAUAAGGCAAACUAUAUCUGAAUAUUUAGGAUACUCACAUGAUAUUAACAAUAUAAGUAAAUAAAAUAUUUUAAGCUUGACA